This is a long non-coding RNA of Cyprinus carpio carpio, 443 nucleotides long. The record is from Ensembl. NCBI's taxonomy places the organism in Eukaryota, Metazoa, Chordata, Actinopteri, Cypriniformes, Cyprinidae.
UGUGGCGGGGUACAUUAUCCUGCAGAAAGAGGCCACUGCCAUCAGGGAACACCUUUGCAAUGGUAGGUGGUAUGUGUCAAAGUAGGGUAACAUCCACAUGAAUGCCAGGACCUGCAUCUGCUGUCAUCUCUUCCCCAGGUGGAGGCUCAUCACUGUUUUUCAUUAUUUUGAGCUACAGUACUUCUCCUGUGUGAUUGGACCAGAGAGACUAGCCUUCGCUCCCCAUGUGCAUCAUGGAAGCGGACUCCAGCAAGCAUCCUGGAGUUAAAUUUUCCACCUCAACACACAAGCCUAAUGGGGCCUCAUCAAAGCCACCAGAUCCAGUCUGUAUCCAAGUCAGAGGGUCACUGCAGUCACCCGGAUCCAGUAUGUAUCCAGCCCAGAUGGUGGAUCAGCACCUAGAAAGGACCUCUACAGCCCUGAAAGACAGCGGAGACCAGGAC